ACCUCGGUGUCGCAAACGGUUAAGCGCUUGGCUACUAACCGAAAGGUUGGUGGUUCAAACCCACCCAGGGGUA
This 73-nucleotide transfer RNA is filed under the name Loxodonta africana (African savanna elephant). It matches the Rfam family "tRNA". Rfam says of the family: Transfer RNA (tRNA) molecules are approximately 80 nucleotides in length. Their secondary structure includes four short double-helical elements and three loops (D, anti-codon, and T loops). The record is from Rfam by way of RNAcentral. Lineage: Eukaryota; Metazoa; Chordata; Mammalia; Proboscidea; Elephantidae.